This 45-nucleotide non-coding RNA is filed under the name Schistosoma mansoni. The record is from RNAcentral. Lineage: Eukaryota; Metazoa; Platyhelminthes; Trematoda; Strigeidida; Schistosomatidae.
AUCCAGCUGACGAGUUCCAAAUAGGAUGAAACGCGCAUUCUGGAU